This 597-nucleotide long non-coding RNA is filed under the name Pan troglodytes (chimpanzee). RNAcentral's name for it is "lincRNA". The record is from RNAcentral. Lineage: Eukaryota; Metazoa; Chordata; Mammalia; Primates; Hominidae.
GAGGUGUCACUGUGAGCUGUGUCGCUGCCUUAAGAGAUAUCUGUUGUGUCUUAUUACUUGGUUGCUUUUCCCCACAUGUACAAUGACAAAAAUGCCUUCAACCUAUUUGAUCCAGCCAUUCCAGUACAACUCCUAUACUUGCCAUCUUUCCAAGCCCAAAGCUAUAGUUCCUCAUGGUCCUGCACUCCAUGGACUAAAUUAUGAUGAAACUGAAACACAAAAAAUUUAGAUUAACUCUUAGGUGACAAAGGCCAGGAUUGAAGCUCAUGCGGUCUGGCUCCAGAACAACUCUUCUUCAUAGUUACGUUAUACUGCCCCUGCAUUGUUGGUAUUGAAAAUAACUGAUACCGUGCUUCCAGAAGAUUUUUCUAACAGUGUUUGCAGGCUAUAAAAUAGUGCUUUCACUUGGAAAAGGCUAGACGUGGUGGUUCAUGCCUGUAAUCCCAGCACUUUGAGAGGCCGAGGCACCAUGCCGGGAGAUAAGGAUCCAACAUAAGACAAACAGUGCUGAUGCUUUUGGAAAGCUCAUAUUCAAGCUGGGGAGACAAACAACAUACAAAAACUCACUCUGUCACCCAGGCUGGAGUGCAAUGGCAC